CUGCCUGCCACCUCUCCCUACCUCUGCCGCAAACUCCUUCUUUUCCUUCCUUUACUGGUGUCGCCUCCUUCUUCUUCCUUUUUACUAUUGACGUCGUUUUAGAGCAAGGAAACCCUCCUCCUUGCUGCCACUCCAAGUGUAGCCUUUUGUUGCCCUUACCUCGUGAAUCCGACGCUGGAAAUGAGCUCCCCACCAUCGAAAGCCCCCAAGCCAACCUCCCCCGCCGUUUUCCUCCACCAGUAGCCUCUGUAUAACCUCGCCGAAAUCGAAACUUUUUGGCCUCGAUCUGAUGCCUUUCGGCGAGUUUCCAGCAGAAACAUCUCUAUAUUCGGACUCCCGCAACUCCAGCUUCGCAUAGGCGCUUUCGAAUUCGAAAUUCGACACCGUUGGCGGUACCGACUUUCGAACCCCGGAAACUUUCGAAUUCGAAAUUCGCCGUUGGCAGUACCGACUUUCGAACCCUGGUAUUUUCCGGAUGCGUAGAAGUUCGAAUUUCGGCUCGGUAUAAUUUUAUCCAGACUUUACAAAUUAUUUAAAAUUAUUAAGAAAUAAUUGGUGUAUAAAUUGUUAGUUACAAUUAAUUAAUUAGUCGUCUGAUUUUAGAAUUACUGCAGAUUAAUUAUAGAAGGAGUUAAUAUUCUGUCAUAUAAAUUGAAGCUGCGAUUAAUUGAAUUAAAUACGAGGAAAAAUAUUUAUGUGUUGUAUCAUGAAUAAUAUUAUUUUGUCGGAC
RNAcentral lists this long non-coding RNA (730 nucleotides) under Ricinus communis (castor bean). Its description in RNAcentral is "long non-coding RNA (RCOM_LNC003049)". The record is from RNAcentral. Lineage: Eukaryota; Viridiplantae; Streptophyta; Magnoliopsida; Malpighiales; Euphorbiaceae.